UGUCCUGGUUGCCUGUUAUGCUAUCCCUGGAUCUUGCCCUGGUGUAUAUGAACGGCCUGUUCUCUGGAGGAGCCAACACUCAAGUAUGUGCUCUCUCUGGUCCUUGCCAGAGCUAUGAUUGCUGGAAAGGGAAGCAGGCCCGAGGACCAGGGUCUCACACUAUGCAGCUGAAGUUGGCCGACAACUCCUGAUCCUCUGGCGUGCUAGGAUCAUUGGCAAGACUCCCUUCACCAUGUCUGCCUGCUGCCAUGCUCCCUGCCAUGAUGAUAAUGGACUAAGCACCUGAAAUGGUAAGCAAGCUCAAUUCAAUAUUUUCCUUUAUCCUCAACCCAAUAAGUUCCCUUGAUCAUUGAGUCUCAUCACAGCAACAGAACAAUGACUAAGACUGCA
This 390-nucleotide small RNA is filed under the name Rattus norvegicus (Norway rat). RNAcentral describes it as "uncharacterized LOC102551319". Lineage: Eukaryota; Metazoa; Chordata; Mammalia; Rodentia; Muridae. The record is from RNAcentral.